Molecule: ribosomal RNA, 253 nt
Filed under: uncultured bacterium
Lineage: Bacteria
Description: partial 16S ribosomal RNA
Rfam family: Bacterial small subunit ribosomal RNA
Source: RNAcentral
UACGGAGGGUGCGAGCGUUAAUCGGAAUUACUGGGCGUAAAGGGUGCGUAGGUGGUUUAAUAAGUUAUCUGUGAAAUUCCUGGGCUUAACCUAGGGUGGUCAGAUAAGACUGUUAGGCUUGAGUAUGGGAGAGGGUAGUGGAAUUUCCGGUGUAGCGGUGAAAUGCGUAGAGAUCGGAAGGAACACCAGUGGCGAAGGCGGCUACCUGGCCCAAUACUGACGCUGAGGCACGAGAGCAUGGGGAGCAAACAGG